AUACGUAGGGGGCGAGCGUUGUCCGGAAUGAUUGGGCGUAAAGGGCGCGUAGGCGGCCCGGUAAGUCUGGAGUGAAAGUCCUGUUUUUAAGAUGGGAAUUGCUUUGGAUACUGUCGGGCUUGAGUGCAGGAGAGGUAAGUGGAAUUCCCAGUGUAGCGGUGAAAUGCGUAGAGAUUGGGAGGAACACCAGUGGCGAAGGCGACUUACUGGACUGUAACUGACGCUGAGGCGCGAAAGUGUGGGGAGCAAACAGGAUGAGAUACCCUGGUGGUCCACACUGUAAACGAUGAAUGCUAGGUGUAGGGGGUAUCGACCCCUUCUGUGCCGCAGUCAACACAAUAAGCAUUCCGCCUGGGGAGUACGGCCGCAAGGUUGAAACUUAAAGGAAUUGACGGGG
This 397-nucleotide ribosomal RNA is filed under the name uncultured bacterium. RNAcentral describes it as "partial 16S ribosomal RNA". It matches the Rfam family "Bacterial small subunit ribosomal RNA", at positions 523 to 918 of the family's 1533-position model. The record is from RNAcentral.